UCUUACAAACGACAACGACAAACGAACGUCAGUCCGGUCAGUCCCGUCAGUCGGGUUGAGUCGGUUGGUUAUUUCCAGGCAUGUCGGUUUUUACUUCUUGUAUCGAAAGAUACAACGAAGGAGCAUCGUGUCUCUCAGUAUAUCCCGAAAACACUUUUCUAACCGUCAUUUCCAAAUCGUUUUUCUUUCCGAUUCUCCGGUCCGUGAAAAACAAACAACAUCGUGUCGUUUUUACUCUCAUUUCUUUCGCGAAUAGACCAAACGUAUGACGCCGAAAAAGAUUUGUAAUGAGAAAAAACCACGCUACCGUGUAAAAAUAGUGCAUCGAAGUUUUUUUCAUUCGCGAAUUAAACGGAAAUAACUCGUGCGACAUUCGUGAAAACAGGAUAUACAUGUCAUCCGCGUUAGUAAAAUAAUAAUAAUAAUAAUAAUAAUAAAAGUGGAGUGAAGAAAAUAGUGGACAAGGACUGUUUCAAGAGGAUUUAAAAUUUGAUCGACGUUGCUUUCGGGAAGGGUGGAUGUUUGUUCGAGCUCAAACCUGCCCGGUCACGCGCCCUAGCAUGGUUGCCAAGCACUUUAGCCAGGGCUCCGGCCCGGAGACAGGGGUCCCGGAUAUGACGGUAAUCAGUGACAUAGACGAGACUGGGAUCAACCGAAAUCUCCAGGUCCGAUACGGCAGGGAUCAGAUAUACACUUACACCGGUUCCAUUCUCGUGGCGGUGAAUCCUUACAAGGAGGUUGACGUCUACACAAUGGAAUACGUAAAUCGUUAUCAUGGACAAAAAAUGGGAGCAUUGGAACCCCACGUAUUUGCACUCGCCGAAGCUUCCUACCGUUCGCUUCAGGAAACCAAGAACAAUCAGUCCUGCGUCAUAUCCGGCGAAAGCGGGGCCGGAAAAACAGAAACGACCAAAUUCAUACUCCAGUAUUUGUGCUCGAUAACGAGCAACGUUGACACUUGGGUCGAACAACAAAUCCUCGAAGCUAACACCAUUCUCGAAGCUUUUGGUAACGCAAAAACCGUGCGAAACGACAACAGCUCGCGAUUCGGUAAAUUCAUGCAAGUGUGUUUCGACAGUAAAUGGAUGAUAAGAGGCUGUAUAAUUCAGGAUUAUUUGCUGGAGCAAAGUAGAAUAACGUUCCAAAGUCCGGGAGAGCGUAACUACCACGUUUUAUAUCAGUUGGCGGAGGGAGGAAUACGAGACAGAGAAUUCGCAGAGACGUACAAGUUGGUGCCACCGACAAAGUACAAAUAUUUGAAUCAAUCGGGUUGCAUAAAGAUCGAUGGAAUAUCGGAUUCAAAGAAACUGGACGCGUUGCGUUUGGCGUUUAGCGUGUUGCAAGUCCCGACCGAAAUGUGCGAAGGUAUUUUUCGGGUAUUGUCGGCCAUUUUGUGGCUUGGUAAUCUCAACUUCGAGGACGUCGACGGUGAACGAUGUGAAUUGACGAAAGAAGAUCUCGACAUCAUCGCGACGGUAGCUCCUCUUCUCGGCUUGCAAGUCGAAGACUUAACGAGAGUCGUUCUCGUUCGUCAAAUAAACGUGCGCGGUAACAUCACCGAAAUUCCACUCAAAGUUCAAGAAGCACGCGAGAACAGACAUGCCAUGGCAAAAGCUCUCUACUCUAGAACGUUUGCUUGGCUCAUCAAUCAUAUCAACAAUUGCACCAAUCCGGGACAAGAUAGCUCCAGGUUUCUCGGCGUACUCGAUAUAUUUGGAUUCGAAAAUUUUGCUGUCAACAGCUUCGAACAACUCUGCAUCAAUUAUACUAACGAGAAACUCCACAAAUUCUUCAAUCAUUACGUGUUCGCUCUGGAACAGGAGCUGUAUCGUCAGGAAGAAAUUCAAUAUUCGCACAUAACCUUUACGGACAAUACGAUGUGCCUCGAACUAAUAGAAAAACCGCCGCGUUGCGUGCUGAAGCUAUUGACAGAGCAGUGUCACAUGCCAAAAGGUUCGGAUUUGGCAUACCUGACAAAUUUGCAUGCCGAGUUCGAUAGUCAUCCCUGUUACGUCAAAGGCGAUGAUCGUCGGAGAUGGGAAAAGGAAUUUGGCCUUAAGCAUUACGCUGGUUGCGUUACGUACACGGUCGAAGGAUUCGUUGAAAAAAAUCGCGAUGUUCAGCAAGACGUUUUCUUUGAUUUUAUGUCAAGAAGUACGAACGAAUUCGUUCAGGAGAUAACGGUUUAUCAGGACCUUUUGGGCUGCACGGUAGCACGAGCACCUGGAAACGCAACGACAAUGUCGAGAGGCACUUCCAAAGGUAAGCCGACCCUUUGCGAUUCCUUCAGACAUCAAUUGCAAGCGCUCGUUGAUGUUCUACAAGCAACGACGCCGUGGUACGCCCGAUGCAUAAAACCGAACAUGGAAAAAAAGUCAAACAACUACGACGAAAAACUCGUCCUCGAUCAACUCAAAUAUCUUGGAAUGUUGGAUAUCAUCAGAAUACGAAAAGAAGGAUUUCCUGUUCACAUGCCGUUCCACGAGUUUGUUGCUCGCUACCGAUGCCUCAGUCGCAAGACUUUGCCUCACGAUGACAAAGACGCUGCUAGGUGUCUAAUCGCAUGCCAGGGCAUCCCCGACACCGAAUGGCAAAUCGGCAAAACCAAAGUCUUUCUUCGUAGCUAUGUUCACGAACCUCUGGAAGACUCCAGAAAUCAAAUGGUCACCAAAAAUGCUAUCCUUAUACAAAAGGUCUGGCGAGCUUACAGAGUCAGGAGGGAAUAUCGACGCGUGAGAGUGGCGGCUCUAAAAGUUCAGCAUGCCUAUCGUGGUUGGAAACUUCGUAUAAUGUUUAUAAGAAAACGACGCGCAGCGAUCGUGAUCCAGUCGCAUCUUCGGGGAGUAUUUGCCCGGGAAGUAGCUGCUGCUUUGCGAGAGAUGCGUCGAGUCGACGAAGAGAUGCGAAAACGUGAAAGAAUGGAGGAAGAACGAAGACUUAUGGAGGACAAAAAAACUAUCGAAGAUAGUCAAAGCGCUCAAUACAAUGGUAUUGCCGGAAUGGAAGCAGGGAAAGCUCAGGAGGAAAUCGCAGCGUUGUCGCAAAUGGCUGAGACUAUAAAUUCUAAAAUGGCUGCAUCGGAAUUGCAGUCAGUGGAUCUGGACAAUUUAUUCUCUUUCUUGUCGGACGUACAAUCGACCAAAAGCAAUCAAAUAAUCGAGGAAAUUGGUGAGCGUAUGGACGAGUUGGUAGAAGAUCUUGAUGCUGAAUUGGAAACGGUUAUCCAGCUGGAGAUGGAAAUGAAUGCUCGAGCGGAUUCGAAGCUGAACUCUCCGGAUGGGAUUGCUCAAAGAAACGGUACAACGACAGUGUGUAAGUUGGGACAACCGAGUUUGCCGGAGCCAACGGGACCGCCACCGCCACCACCCCCACCGCCGCUGCCAUCACUUUUCAACGACGAUUCUUCAAUGCCAGAUGAUAACGAGCCGAUCUACGAAUCAGUUUUACCGCGUGACGAAAAUGGACCGAGCAGUCCGAUAAUGAUGAACAGAAAUUCUGGUCAAUUGAUAAACGGCGAAACAUGCGCCUCUCCACCACCCGUCCCAACAAGUAAAAUAAUUAAAGAAACUUCGAUCGGAAGUCCACCCUCGAGGCCGGAAUCUCGCAAUUCAAAUGCUCAUCACUCGUACCAUCAGAAUCAUCAUCCAAACGUCACAAGUGUGUCUCAACAAAACGGCCAGGAUAUUCAACCGCAUGCAAUCAACCAACAACCACAAGUGCAGCAACAGCAACAGCAACAGGUGCCACAACAACAACCACAACAACAACCACAACAACAACAACAACAACAACAACAACAACAACAACAACAACAACAACAACACCAACAACCGAUCAUCAACUCUGUCUCGCAGCAACAACCUGCUGAACGCGAACAACGUCGCAAAUUCCGCGUUGAACGAAAACUUCAAGAGCUUGAAGAUAAAAAAGAGAUUCCCGAAAUUGAAACCACAUAUCACGAUAUUGUCGAAUUUGCACAAAACUAUUUCAACAGCCACGAGAGAUCACCUGAGGGCACUAUUAUGGCCACCCUGACGAGGAAAUCACGUGGCAAAAGUGUCGAAUUCAUUCCUAAAUAUGAAAUGGUCACGUAUUACAAAGGCUCCAGCAUUCCAAAUUCUCAUAUUCAUAUGUACGAUCCAGAUAACGUAAAUCUUGCCUGUUCCAUCUUUAGGGAUUUGUGCAAGUACCUUCGUGGAGAAAUGAAGUUGGAUCAAGAAAUAGCAACGAUUCAAUCGAUAAUCGGCUACGGUAUAGAGCGCGAAGAGCUUCGGGACGAGAUUCUCGUGCAAUGUAUUCGUCAAGCAACUAACAAUCCGAAUUUGGAAUGGGCUGAAAGAGUCUGGCUUCUGCUCUGUCUGGCGAUUGUUGCUUUCCAACCGAGCAAGCUACUCUAUAAAUAUUUCGUUUCAUUUCUCAAGAAGAAUCUCGCUCUUGAAGGGAAAUUGCGUCAAUACGUCGAGUGGUGCGUCGAUAAUUGCAAGAAUAUGAAAGUUUCGUGCAGACAAUUCCCACCGUCAACUGUGGAGAUUGGAGCGAUGCGAAGACUCGGCACGAUCGUUUGCCGAUUUUUCUUCCUCGAUGGAAGAACAAAAGCUAUCGAUGUUCAUCCGACCGACACGGCGGCCGAUGCUGCAGCAAAACUGGCCGAAAAAUUGGGUUUGAGGUCUUUGGAAGGAUGGGCGAUUUAUCAAAGUCGACCGGACGGCGAAGAACACGUUCGAGCACACGAUUAUCUUUAUGACGUCAUUGCCGCAUGGGAAGUUAAACAGUGCAAGCUCAAUACCUCUCAGUCAAGCUUCUCAACCCUCAGGCGGGGCAACAACGCAACUUUAGGCAGCGGCGACAAUCGCUUUGUCUUCAAACGCCGAUUAUUCCGGAAUACCCGAGAACUCUCACAAGAUCCCGUUGAAGUCAACAUGCUGUACUCACAGGCUGUGUACAACGUCGUCAAAUGCGACGAUUUUCCGGUGUCGGAGAAAGUUGCGUUGCAGCUCGCGGGUUUGCAGGCGCAGGUAUCGCUCGGUGACCCGAAGGACAACGAUCGUCUGGACUAUUACAGUGAGGUGGAUAGUUUUCUGCCCUAUCGGAUAAGCCGAGCUCGCGGAGACGAUGUGUGGGUACCAAUAAUCGCACAGGCUCACAAGCAAUACGGUGCUGGUCGUUCAGAGCUCACAGCAAAAGUGCUGUAUCUCUCUUGCGUAAUGCAGUAUCCGCUUUACGGUACAACCAUGUUUAACGUGACGUAUCGCGGUUAUUGGUCAUACGGUAAUCAAUUGAUAUUGGGAAUAAGUGCGGACGGUUUGAUGCUGAUUAAGCCGGACGACAAAUUCGUGCUGUCGGAAUAUCGUUAUCAGGAUGUCGAGAGCAUAAUGUUAGAUCCGAGCGAUUCCUUCAUAACGCUUUCUCUGCUGAGACACAAUCCCGAUAGUUCGCACAAAUGUUUUGUAUUUGAGACCCCACAGAAAAAUGAGAUCGGUAGUUUGAUUGUAAGUUAUUGUCCGGUGCUGGCCGGUUGGAUAACGGAGAAUGAGGCCCCAACGAAAAAGAUAAAAGGCAUGACGAACGAGGACCGCGUUCGGCUUUAUCACAAUCUCGUUAAUUGCCGACGAGUUCUCGUUGAUUCGGAAGCUCUGAGAAAACCACAGGAUUCGGGUGGCGGUUUUCUGCGCAAUACGCUUAGAAGAUUGUCCAAACAUAGGAUCGAGAAAUUGCGUCAAGAACACGGGAGCUCAGCGGACCACGGCGAAACUUACAAAGGCUUCCCUCAUGUUUAUUGGGCUUUCAGCAGACAAACGAUACCACAGAGCCUGACCAAAUUACCCGACGCCGAGGAACAAAUAGCUCUUAGCGUUUUCCAACUCAUCUUGACAUAUGCCGGACUCGGACAAAACGGUGACACCGUUCGCCGGGUCGAGGAUGAACAUGUCAAUCUCAUACAAACAGUCAUGGAACGAUGUAUGAGGAAAGAAAAUUUACUCGGUGAACUUUAUCUCCAACUUAUAAAACAAACCACGGAUCACCCCGAUCCAAACAGCCGCGUUAACCUUCGCCACUGGGCGCUCUUGUCACUCGCUUGUUCCGUCAUACUUCCUCCACAAAAAAUCAUAAGAAAGUAUCUAAUCGCUCAUCUUAAACGUUGCGCUAGCGAUUACGUCACCGAAGAAGGAAAAUAUGCAAGAUUUGCCGAAAAAUGUUUGACCAAAACUCAAGGCACGAGGAGACGUCAAUGGCCACCCAGCAGGGAAGAAAUCAUGUGCACUAUCAACCGAAGACCCAUUUACGCUAGAUUCCACUUCAUGGAUGGACAGUACCAUGCUGUCGAGUUCCAUCCCUCGGCCACUGCCAGAGACGUCAUGGAAAUUAUCAAAGCCAAAAUCGGUCUCGAAGAAUCAGCAAUGGGUUAUGCAAUUUAUGAAGUGCUUGGUUCAACGGAAAGGUCUCUUGUGCCAGAGGAAAAAAUAGCUGAUGUUAUGUCGAAGUGGGAACGUUACAGAACUGCCAGUGUUACCCAACAGGGUAAUCAACCACAAAGAAAACACGGUCACCACCUGUUCCUCUUUAAAAAACAUCUGUUCCUUGACCAAUACAUGAAUCUCGACGAUCCAGUCGAAAAAGAACUUUUAUAUCACCAAGUGCUGCAUGAUUUGCGAGCUGAUAGAUUCCCCAUUACCGAGAAAGAAGCGAUGAUGUUGACUGCGCUUCAAGCACAAUUAGAACUUGGUGACUGCGAAGAGGGACCAAUGCCACAAGAAUAUCGAACAAUAUCUAGUCACUGCCUGCCAUCAAGACUCGUACCAAACGUUUGCCUCGACGGUGUUCUCCAACAUCAUCAAUCGUUACGGGAGCCACGAUAUUCGACGUUAUGCAAUCUUUCACCUCUAACUGGCCGAGAGUAUUGUGGUUGGCUGUCGAUCAGCAGGGACUCCAUUUACUUGAACACCGAUCAAGGAACGCUUUGUGCACUUAUGAGUACAGCAGUAUAUUGAGCUACAGCCCAGCUCUUAGUUGCCUCAUGAUUAUUACCGGCACUGAUAAAAAACAAAGCAAAGUUAUUUUGACCACGUCGCAGGCUUGUCAAAUAGCUAAUUUGAUUCGCGAGUAUACGGAAGUACUCCAAUCACCGAUUGAAGUCCCGAAGAGAGACUCAACGAUAAUACAACAUAUAAAUCAACAUCAGCAGCUGCAGCAACAGCCGCCGCCGACUA
Molecule: unclassified non-coding RNA, 7208 nt
Filed under: Venturia canescens
Lineage: Eukaryota; Metazoa; Arthropoda; Insecta; Hymenoptera; Ichneumonidae
Description: unconventional myosin-VIIb, transcript variant X1
Source: RNAcentral